CUCUCUCUCUCUCUCUCUCUCUCUCUCUCUCUCUCUCUAGCACCCGCAUUGUCAAAAACUAUUCUUAUGCAUAAUACUAUAUAAUCUUACCACUUGUCAGAUUGAAGUUCAAUGUUAUAGAAGAGAGAGAGAGAGAGAGAGAGAGAGAGAG
RNAcentral lists this microRNA precursor (151 nucleotides) under Olea europaea subsp. europaea. The record is from RNAcentral. Lineage: Eukaryota; Viridiplantae; Streptophyta; Magnoliopsida; Lamiales; Oleaceae.